GAAAUUCCCGAUUUUGGGGAGGAAAUUCCCGAUUUUGGGGGAAAUUCCCGAUUUUCAUGACAAUUCCCGAUUUUGGGGGGAAAUUCCCGAUUUUUGGGGAUUCUCCCGGUUUUUUUGGGGGGUGGAUUUCCCUGUUUUUAGGGGUUUCCUGGUUUUCCGUGAGGUUUUUCCCAAUUUUUUGGGUGGAUUUCCCUGUUUUUUACGGGGUUUUCCUGAAUUUCCAGGGGUGGGGACAGACACGGGGACAGGGGGACAGCGGGAUUUGGGAAUAUCAGGAUUUGGGGACAGCGGGAUCUGGGAACGUCGGGAUUUGGGGACAUCGGGAUUUGGGGACAUUGGGAUUUGGGGACAUUGGGAUUUGGGGACACCGGGAUUUGGGGACAUCGGGAUCUGGGGACAGCGGGAUUUGGGGACACAGGGACAUCGGGAUCUGGGAAUAUCGGGAUCUGGGAAUAUCGGGAUCUGGGGACACCAGGCCUCCAGGCCCUGCCAGGCCGCAGGGACAAGGACACGUUUAGGGACAUCGGGAUUUGGGAACACCAGGAUUUGGGGACACAGGGACAUCGGGAUUUCCACCGCAAUCUGGGGACACCAGGCCUCCAGGCCCUGCCAGGCCGCAGGCGCGGGGACAAGGACACGUUUGGGGACACCAGGAUUUGGGGACAUCGGGAUUUGGGGACAUCGGGAUUUGGGGACAUUGGGAUUUGGGGAUAUCAGGAUCUGGGGACACCAGGAUUUGGGGACAUCGGGGACACGGAGCCCCAGGCCUGGCAGCGGCGAUGGCGCAGGGACAAGGACACGGGGACAGCGGGAUCUGGGGACACUGGGAUGGGGACACAGGGACAUCGGGAACUGGGGACAUUGGGAUUUGGGGACACUGGGAUUUGGGGACAUUGGGAACUGGGGACAUCAGGAUUUGGGGACAUCAGGAUUUGGGGACACGGGGCCAUCGGGAUUCGGGACCUCAAGGACAUCGGGAUUUGCAGGGCCCAGCGGCGCUGCUGGCACGGGGCCGAGGUGGCAGUGACACGCGGGGGACACUCGUGACACACUCGGGGGACACUCGGGGACACUGGUGACACGCGGGGGACACUCGUGACACACUCAGGGGACACACAGAGGACAAUCGUGACCAGCGUGACACGCUCAGGAGACAAUCGUAACACGCUCGUGACACGCUCGGGGACACUCGUGACACACCCAGGGACACUCGUGACACACCCAGGGACACUCAGGACGCGCAGGGGACACUCGUGACACGCUCGGGGACACUCAUGACACACCCAGGGACACUCAGGACACACUUGGGGACACUCAUGACACACUUGGGGACACUCGGGACACACUUGGGGACACUCGGGACACACUUGGGGACACUCGUGACACGCUCGUGUGUGGCCUGGGUGACGCAG
RNAcentral lists this long non-coding RNA (1412 nucleotides) under Cyanistes caeruleus (blue tit). Its description in RNAcentral is "lncRNA (ENSCCEG00000002194.1)". The record is from RNAcentral. Lineage: Eukaryota; Metazoa; Chordata; Aves; Passeriformes; Paridae.